CUGAAGUGAUUCUCCAGCUUCAGCCUUACAGACGAGUACCACCAACACCUGGCUAAUUUUUGUGUAUGUGUGUGUGUUUUUUUGUAGAGAUGGAGUUUCGCCAUGUUGCCCAAGCUGGUCUCAAACUCCUGAGCUCAAGGGAUCCAGCCACUUCAGCCUCCCAAAGUGCUGGGAUUACAGGUGUGAGCCACCGCGCCUGGCCUUCUUUGUCCAUUUCUAAUCCUGGGGUCCUAUGACUCCUAGCAUGAAGCUUUCCUCAACAGGCUUCUCAGAUAUGUAUUGACUCCAGCCACAUGAGCUAGAGACUGUUUUCAGAGUCAUCCUGGUCAGUUCUUGACAACCUGGUAGCCACCAGACCACAGAAGGGCAGGUGAACCUGUCUCGAUCCACUUAGAGGUUCUGCAAGGUUCUUGGAGCCUGGCUGGAGGAGCCUCCUCAGCAGCACUGCUGUGUCAAUGUCUAAUAUUAAGGAUAUAGCUUAAACACAGUCUUCUCUCCAACUCCAUCUUGGAGAGGAUCCCUGGAGGUACAGAGAGAAGUAAAGAAGGUACUUUCCCAGGUGUUAGGGAUACAGCAAUGGAUAUAUGGUGUAUGCCUUCAAGGGGUUCCAGGUCUUGGGGAUGAAACAGAGCAUAAAGCAGAAGGAAGGACAAAGCAAGAAGCUAUCGUGAUGAUUGGUUUACGGACCUGUGGAUCACAAAAGGGGUUGCCUAACUCAGUCCGAGGGCAAGUGGGAGUCAAGAAUUCAUUCAAGUCACUGAAUGACUGCAUGAAACUUCUAGAACUAAACCUUUUACAAAGUAGGAAAAAGAAAUAAAAUGUCCUGGGGUCCAUGCCUAGUGAUUAAAAUCAAACUCAAGAUAACAAAAUAUAUAGAUUCUGCACUUGAUCAGGGCAAAAUCUGGUCAGCCAAAUACAUUCAUGAUACUAAUCAUAACCAGGAAUUCCAGGGGCAUAUCUAUUCCACCCAAGCAUAAUGAAAAAUGGGACAUAUAACUCAACCAGAAUGUUGUUCUUCUCUGCUCACACAGCAGGCAUAUACUUUUUUCAUUCAGUUGCACGUCGUGAAUUUAUUUCCACAAUGAAGAAUGCUUACAAGUCACCUCCCAGUCCAUGAUGGAAAAAAACAGGCAUGCAGACUCAACUCUCAUUUUUUCCCCAAAUUUGGCUGACAAGCCAGAAGCAAAGUUGAUGGUUUCAGAUAAUAUCAAACUGACUAUUGACCCAACCACUCCCAGCUGUCAAUCCAGAUACCAGUAGUUUGAGACAAAUGGCAAACUUUCUCCAGCAAGAGUCACAUUUUGUACUAAAGAUGUAAAUGAAUGGCAGACCCGAAUGCAAUGUUAUCCUCUCAGUUUGGGACUUAAAGGAGAAGAUGAAGGCAGGAAAAGACAACCAGCAUUAGCUCCACACUGAGGUGCACUGGGCUUGAUGGACCCAGGUUCUCUCCCUGAAGAGGGGAUUAUCAAGCCUAUUUUACACAACAGUAAAUUCAGGCUCAGAGAGGUUGAGUCAUUGGCCUGAUAUCAAAAAGCUGGAGAAGGUAGAGGUGGGAUUCAAAUCCAGGUCUGUCCAAUGGGGAAGCUAUAGCCUGUUGCCUCAGUCUCAUUCUCCUUUGUGAAAAGUAACAAACCUGGCCAGGUGCAGUGGAUCACGCUUGUAAUCCCAGCACUUUUGGAGGCCAAGGUAGGCGGAUCACCUGAGGUCAGGAGUUCGAGACCAGCUUGUCUUGGCCAACAUGGCGAAACCCUGUGUCUACUAAAAAUACAAAAUUAGCCAGGGGUAGUGGCGAGUACCUGUAAUCCCAGCUACAUGGGAGGCUGAGGCAGGAGAAUCACUUGAACCCAGGAGGCGGAGGUUGCAGUGAGCUGAGAUCGUGCCACUGCACUCCAGCCUGGGUGACAGAGUGAGACUGUCUCAAACAAAAACAAAAACAGACCUGUGAGAACAAAGCUAUGAAAUGAGGUAGAUGUGAGAUGAGAGGGGGAUAGCAGAAUAUUUCUUGGAAGCCACUGUCUGUGAGGGUAAGAGGGGCAACGACAUUUCAGUUACAGGGGAGAGUUGUCUCUAGUAGAAUAAUUCCUUGAGAAGCCACCUGGCCCAGAAACUCAGGCCCUAGGAGAACAGCAACUGCCUUACAGAAGGCAGAAAAUUGCUAGGGAACAUGGGGUGUGCAAUAUUUCCCUCCCUGUGACACCCCCUCCCUCAACAAUAUACUGUCACAAAAGUUACUAAAAAUAUGAAAUGCUUGCUGUGAAUGCGUAUCUCUUGGAAACCAGCAAGGAGGUGGGCUUCUUGUUCAGAAUGUGGGAGUGGAGUAGAAACCACCUUCACAGAAAGGCUGGAGGCAGCACCUCAUGGGAACUCACAGAAAUCCUGAGGCAGGUUCCAUACUGUCCAAUCAGAUCUCCAGAAGGCAGGUAGGUUCUUGAAGCAUCUAGGCUGGGCAGGGCUGAUCCAGGACACCUGAUCUCUUAGUUACACCAGCAUUGCCUGCUUCUGCAUCAAGGGAUAGCCAUGCAUUUCUUCCUCCUGGCCUUAGUUGUUCUCCUUUACUUCUCAAAGUACCCCCAGUUCCAUAACCCAUUUCCUAACCCAUUGUCUUCUCAUCUCCCCAUUCUCUAUCCUUCACAGAUUUUGGCCCUCUGUACUUAUCAGUAGCCUGCUACAGACUUAACUCACUCCUCUAGGAUGAAGGCCAGUAAGCCUGGGCCUGAAGGCCAAAUCCAGCUCCCCACCUAUUUUUGUAAAUAAAAUCUGAUUGGAACACAGCCGUACUCAUUCAUUUACAUAUUGAAUAGCUGCACCAGAGACCCCAUGGCCCUCGAAGUCCAAAAUAUUUAUUGUCCAGCCAUUUAAAAGAAAGUCUGCUAUCCCUUGCUCCAGAAUAUCAAGUCCUUAAAGCCUGGGGCUCUGUUUCAUUCAUCUCUUUAUCUCCAGUAUGUGAUACAGAAUAAAUGUUGUUUGAUAAAGUGAGUGAAUGCAUGCAUAAGGGUUAGACAGACACGAUUAGAUCAAUUUAACACAGUUGUUACUGCAAAGACACUAAUUGGAAAUCCUUUAAACUGAAAAGAGAUGUUCUAGUUAGCCAUAUUUUCUAUUUAAG
RNAcentral lists this long non-coding RNA (3106 nucleotides) under Homo sapiens (human). RNAcentral describes it as "HSALNT0172846". Lineage: Eukaryota; Metazoa; Chordata; Mammalia; Primates; Hominidae. The record is from RNAcentral.